CCGGAAGGCAGCGGGGACGGAAUGGAGGGAAGCCAGCCCCAGCAUUCCUGACGCACCCAUUCCCUCUCGGACUCCUCGCCAGGCCUGCCACACCCCUGCGGCCAGCUGGGCAGUGGGCACAGGAAUGCUGGGGCAGCCGCGGGCCGGGCCGACCUUGGAGGAGGCCUAAGGACAAGCAGUGGAGCGAGGCCUGCACUCCCGGGCCGAGCGCAGAGUGCCUUCCAAGUGUUCCCUCCCAGCCCUUGGAGAGAGGGGCUGUCUUAGGAAACCGAGGCUUGGAGGUCACUCCCUCAGGGCCUGAGGCUUCAGGACACCCUCCGUCUCCUCCUUCAGAGCCUGGGUCCCAAACUUGACUGUGCAUCAGAAUUGCCUGGAAGUCCUGUUAAGUCACAUUUCGGGGGCCCACCUGCAGCGUCUGAUUCAGCCGCUCAUGCUGCUGCUGCCCGUCCAGGAACUGCAUUUUGAGUGCCAUUGCUUUAAAGAAUUAGUCACUGUUGGGGGACGAAAACUUUUAUUUCAAGUUCAGCAAUCCCUUUUGGCUUCACUUCACAUUCUUUUCUCUUGGUUCAUUGAACAUAAGUUAAACUUCGCUUUAACAAAGGCCCAUGUGGAAUUGUUCUUUCCCUGCUGUCUCUUCAUCCCCAUUCCUGCAUCCCCGUAUUGUUAGGAAUGUUCCAAUUUCACGUACAUCCUGGUAAGUUCUCUAAUUUUCUGUCUGGCUUGAUUCUGAUGAUGAUCAGGUGUCAUUUAAAAAAAAAAAUACAAUGAAGCCAUUCUUUAAAGGAGGAAAAUCCCCUCAGAGGGCAAUUGUGAGAAUUUGUUUAAAGGAAAUAAUGAAAGUUAUGUGGCCCUAAAAAGUAUUAAUAAAUGGUAGCUGUUACCAGUGAACACAAA
Molecule: non-coding RNA, 894 nt
Organism: Leptonychotes weddellii (Weddell seal)
Lineage: Eukaryota; Metazoa; Chordata; Mammalia; Carnivora; Phocidae
Source: RefSeq, a predicted model, not a curated record